Phalacrocorax carbo (great cormorant) is the source of this 573-nucleotide non-coding RNA. The record is from RefSeq and is a predicted model, not a curated record. NCBI's taxonomy places the organism in Eukaryota, Metazoa, Chordata, Aves, Suliformes, Phalacrocoracidae.
GAUACGGCUCGGUAGGUGUCGAUAAGUUGUUCGCUGACAGAGAAUUGCCGACGAACGGGUGAGCGGACGGUCGGCGACGGACGCCGUAGCGACGCGCGCACGCGUUUGCGCGUACUGCAGGGGAUCUCGGGGACGAGCCACGAAAGCGCCGGUAACGGUUACGGCGACGACGGGGAACGACCGCGCACGGCCUCGUAGAGCGAGAGCGCCGCGAUUCGACCGUCGGGCGUGGCGCGACGCGAACGCGCGACCGUGCCACGACGACGGCUACGCGCGGUGGUUCCUCGUUACAGCCCGGGAGCCGCCCUACCGCCGACGGCGCGAGAGACGACCCUCGGUUCUCGCGACCCGGAAGAACAGCGGCGCUCGUACGAGUCCUAACGACUGCGAAUCUGGUUAACGAACAAAGGAAGGAAGGAGAACGGAAAGCCUUACGAGCGCGAACGUUAAGCGUAGUGCUACGACGUCGCCGCCCAAGCGAGAGGAAGACGGGUAAGAGGCGGAUCCAAAAACUGAAAAACCCCCAAAACCGAAAACAGUUUAAGUAGAGCGAUAAAGACGUGAAAUAAACGA